Pteropus vampyrus (large flying fox) is the source of this 116-nucleotide ribosomal RNA. The record is from Ensembl. Lineage: Eukaryota; Metazoa; Chordata; Mammalia; Chiroptera; Pteropodidae.
GUCUACGGCCAUGCCACCCUGAACAAGCCUAAUGUCUGAUCCCAGAAGCUAAGCAGGGUCAGGCCUGGUUAGUACUUGGAUGGGAGACCACCUAAGAAGACUAGAUGCUGUAGGCA